Molecule: unclassified non-coding RNA, 306 nt
Filed under: Basidiomycota sp.
Lineage: Eukaryota; Fungi; Basidiomycota
Description: partial contains small subunit ribosomal RNA, internal transcribed spacer 1, and 5.8S ribosomal RNA
Rfam family: Eukaryotic small subunit ribosomal RNA (bases 1-47)
Source: RNAcentral
AAAGUCGUAACAAGGUUUCCGUAGGUGAACCUGCGGAAGGAUCAUUCACAAUAUAUGACAAUACAAUUAACGUUGUAUUGUUAUUCAUUAUUCACCAAAAUCAUAAACAAACCGCGCUAUGUACAACCCUUUUUAUUUUAAACAACCCAAUGCCAAUUUCGGUUGGCGAAGUGUACCUCAUCUUUCUUAUGUAAAAGGUAAGAAUUACAAUGUGAUAGUUAAGUCCUAAGUAUGGUGGAUUCCAUACCGGCAUGUGUAGAAAUACGUAAUAUAAUACAACUCUUUGCAAUGGAUAUCUUGGUUCUC